This 97-nucleotide non-coding RNA is filed under the name human gut metagenome. RNAcentral describes it as "THF riboswitch". It matches the Rfam family "THF (Tetrahydrofolate) riboswitch aptamer". From Rfam's summary of the family: THF riboswitch presents a pseudoknot that joins P1-P2 and the loop of P3 and two THF binding. The record is from RNAcentral.
CAGAGUAGAUUUAUGUGCGCUACAGUGCCUUAAAGACGGGGAGUUGCUUUGAGGACGAAAAGCUCAGGCUUGCGGUACAUAAAUCGCAUCCCGCUGU